RNAcentral lists this ribosomal RNA (464 nucleotides) under uncultured bacterium. RNAcentral's name for it is "partial 16S ribosomal RNA". It matches the Rfam family "Bacterial small subunit ribosomal RNA", at positions 339 to 795 of the family's 1533-position model. The record is from RNAcentral.
CUACGGGUCGCUCCAGUGGGGAAUAUUGCACAAUGGGCGCAAGCCUGAUGCAGCCAUGCCGCGUGUAUGAAGAAGGCCUUCGGGUUGUAAAGUACUUUCAGCGGGGAGGAAGGGAGUAAAGUUAAUACCUUUGCUCAUUGACGUUACCCGCAGAAGAAGCACCGGCUAACUCCGUGCCAGCAGCCGCGGUAAUACGGAGGGUGCAAGCGUUAAUCGGAAUUACUGGGCGUAAAGCGCACGCAGGCGGUUUGUUAAGUCAGAUGUGAAAUUCCCGGGCUCAACCUGGGAACUGCAUCUGAUACUGGCAAGCUUGAGUCUCGUAGAGGGGGGUAGAAUUCCAGGUGUAGCGGUGAAAUGCGUAGAGAUCUGGAGGAAUACCGGUGGCGAAGGCGGCCCCCUGGACGAAGACUGACGCUCAGGUGCGGAAGCGUGGGGAGCAAACAGGAUUAGAUACCCCCGUAGUC